CCUACGGGAGGCAGCAGUGGGGAAUAUUGGGCAAUGGGCGCAAGCCUGACCCAGCAAAGCAGCGUGAAGGAAGAAGGCUUUCGGGUUGUAAACUUCUUUUAAUAGGGGAGAGCAGAAGACGGUACCUGAUGAAUAAUCCACGGCUAACUACGUGCCAGCAGCCGCGGUAAUACGUAGGUGGCAAGCGUUAUCCGGAUUUACUGGGUGUAAAGGGAGUGUAGGCGGGAGUGCAAGUCAGAUGUGAAAACUAUGGGCUCAACCCAUAGCCUGCAUUUGAAACUGUACUUCUUGAGUGCUGGAGAGGUAAGCGGAAUUCCGGGUGUAGCGGUGAAAUGCGUAGAUAUACGGAGGAACACCAGUGGCGAAGGCGGAUUGCUGGACAGUAACUGACGCUGAGGCGCGAAAGCGUGGGGAGCAAACAGGAUUAGAUACCCGAGUAGUC
This 442-nucleotide ribosomal RNA is filed under the name uncultured bacterium. RNAcentral describes it as "partial 16S ribosomal RNA". It matches the Rfam family "Bacterial small subunit ribosomal RNA", at positions 338 to 795 of the family's 1533-position model. The record is from RNAcentral.